AUGGCCUCUACUGCUACCUUGAGCACACUCAACCCCCACACUCAUGAUGUCAGCUCUUGGAACUGGAACCCCAAUGGCGUAUAUUCGGCGGGCUCGGCCUACCAGGCGCAAUUCCUUGGCUCUUACGAAAGGUUCUCGAGUAACAAAAUCUGGAAGGCGCAUGCCGAGCCAAAAUGCAAGCCUUUCUCCUGGCUAGUCCUACACAACAGAAUCCUCACAGCUGACAGGCUGGCCACACGCGGAUGGCCACAUGAACUUGUCUGCCAGCUUUGCCUCUGCGCCCUGGAGACCGCUGAGCACCUACACAAGACCGGUCUGUUCACAUCUGCUGUUCGCAGCCUUGUUCUCACUUGGGUGGGUGAGCCGUUGCCAUUCGCCACAAAUGCCGCUCCCCCGUCGAUUGACGCCUGGUGGAUGAUAGCCUCAGAAAUAGCCCCCUUUGGCCCCCAUGAAGCUCCGCCACUGUUGGAGCUAGUAAUGGACAAGGAAAUUAACCAUGUGUCUACCUUGUGCACUUCGUUAUAA
This 525-nucleotide ribosomal RNA is filed under the name Triticum aestivum (bread wheat). RNAcentral describes it as "partial small subunit ribosomal RNA". The record is from RNAcentral. Lineage: Eukaryota; Viridiplantae; Streptophyta; Magnoliopsida; Poales; Poaceae.